AGGAUCCCAGACAGAAACGGUGCUGCUAAAACGUAUAAGGCCAACUCCUUGGAUAACCAACUAACCAAUAGAACCUUGUCCACGUUCAGAUCACCAGAAAAAACCAAGUCGCGGCCUGGUGGCUUGAUGAGUGCAAACACCCCCACCCCCACCCCCACAGCUUCCACCUCCGCCAUGGCCCCUGUGAAGAAAAAGAGG
Long non-coding RNA from Jaculus jaculus (lesser Egyptian jerboa), 198 nucleotides. RefSeq lists it as uncharacterized. NCBI's taxonomy places the organism in Eukaryota, Metazoa, Chordata, Mammalia, Rodentia, Dipodidae. The transcript has 3 exons. The record is from RefSeq and is a predicted model, not a curated record.